RNAcentral lists this ribosomal RNA (230 nucleotides) under uncultured bacterium. RNAcentral describes it as "partial 16S ribosomal RNA". It matches the Rfam family "Bacterial small subunit ribosomal RNA", at positions 29 to 253 of the family's 1533-position model. The record is from RNAcentral.
AGUGAACGCUGGCGGCAGGCCUAACACAUGCAAGUCGAACGGCAGCACAGGGGUAGCAAUACCCUGGGUGGCGAGUGGCGGACGGGUGAGGAAUACGUCGGAAUCUGCCUAUUUGUGGGGGGAUAACGUAGGGAAACUUACGCUAAUACCGCAUACGACCUACGGGUGAAAGCGGAGGACCUUCGGGCUUCGCGCAGAUAGAUGAGCCGACGUCGGAUUAGCUAGUUGGC